GGAGUUAUGGCUCAGUGGUAGAGCGCUUGCUUAGCAUACGUGAGGCACUGGGUUCGAUCCCCAGUAUCACAU
Non-coding RNA from Ictidomys tridecemlineatus (thirteen-lined ground squirrel), 72 nucleotides. The record is from Rfam. Lineage: Eukaryota; Metazoa; Chordata; Mammalia; Rodentia; Sciuridae.